RNAcentral lists this transfer RNA (76 nucleotides) under Stagnimonas sp. RNAcentral's name for it is "tRNA-Ala". It matches the Rfam family "tRNA". Rfam says of the family: Transfer RNA (tRNA) molecules are approximately 80 nucleotides in length. Their secondary structure includes four short double-helical elements and three loops (D, anti-codon, and T loops). Lineage: Bacteria; Pseudomonadati; Pseudomonadota; Gammaproteobacteria; Nevskiales; Nevskiaceae. The record is from RNAcentral.
GGGGACAUAGCUCAGCUGGGAGAGCACUUGCCUUGCAAGCAAUAGGUCCGCGGUUCAAUCCCGCGUGUCUCCACCA